This 788-nucleotide ribosomal RNA is filed under the name uncultured bacterium. RNAcentral's name for it is "bacterial SSU rRNA". It matches the Rfam family "Bacterial small subunit ribosomal RNA", at positions 8 to 796 of the family's 1533-position model. The record is from RNAcentral.
AGAGUUUGAUCAUGGCUCAGGACGAACGCUGGCGGCGUGCUUAACACAUGCAAGUGGAGCGACGAACCGGGGCUUGCCCCGGGGCAGAGCCGCGAACGGGUGAGUAACACGUGGGUUACCUGCCCCAAUGACCGGGACAACCCGAGGAAACUCGGGCUAAUACCGGAUGUGGUCUUCGGACGAAAGGAAGCUUCGGCCUCCGCAUUGGGAUGGGCCCGCGGCGCAUUAGCUUGUUGGUGGGGUAACGGCCUACCAAGGCGACGAUGCGUAGCUGGUCUGAGAGGACGAUCAGCCACACUGGGACUGAGACACGGCCCAGACUCCUACGGGAGGCAGCAGUGGGGAAUCUUGCGCAAUGCGCGAAAGCGUGACGCAGCAACGCCGCGUGGGGGAAGAAGGCCUUCGGGUUGUAAACCUCUUUCAGUUGGGACGAAGGGCUCGCGGUUAAUAGCCGUGGAGUCUGACGGUACCUUCAGAAGAAGCCCCGGCUAACUACGUGCCAGCAGCCGCGGUAAUACGUAGGGGGCAAGCGUUGUCCGGAAUCAUUGGGCGUAAAGAGCGUGUAGGCGGCCCGAUAAGUCCGCUGUGAAAGUCCAGGGCUCAACCCUGGAAUGCCGGUGGAUACUGUCGGGCUCGAAUCCGGAAGAGGUGAGUGGAAUUCCUGGUGUAGCGGUGAAAUGCGCAGAUAUCAGGAGGAACACCAAUGGCGAAGGCAGCUCACUGGGACGGUAUUGACGCUGAGACGCGAAAGCGUGGGGAGCAAACAGGAUUAGAUACCCNNGUAGUCC